Molecule: ribosomal RNA, 274 nt
Filed under: uncultured bacterium
Lineage: Bacteria
Description: partial 16S ribosomal RNA
Rfam family: Bacterial small subunit ribosomal RNA
Source: RNAcentral
CUACGGGGGGUGCGAGCGUUAUUCGGAAUUACUGGGCGUAAAGAGCGCGUAGGCGGUCUUUUAAGUCAGGUGUGAAAGCCCGGGGCUCAACCCCGGAAGUGCACUUGGAACUAAGAGACUUGAGUAUGGGAGAGGGAAGUGGAAUUCCUGGUGUAGCGGUGAAAUGCGUAGAUAUCAGGAGGAACAUCAGUGGCGAAGGCGACUUCCUGGACCAAUACUGACGCUGAGGCGCGAAGGCGUGGGGAGCAAACAGGAUUAGAAACCCCUGUAGUCC